RNAcentral lists this long non-coding RNA (290 nucleotides) under Ananas comosus (pineapple). RNAcentral's name for it is "long non-coding RNA (ACOM_LNC028155)". Lineage: Eukaryota; Viridiplantae; Streptophyta; Magnoliopsida; Poales; Bromeliaceae. The record is from RNAcentral.
CAUCCAUCAUAUCCAACACACACAACCAAGAUGAAUUAAUCACCAAAAGAUCAAAUUUGAUUUCAAAAUUUUGAUGAAUAUAUGUAUUAAGAAAUCAUAUAUUAAAUUAUCGUCAAAAUAAUAAAAAGUGGAGUAAAACCGAUAAUUAAUAUGAAUUUAAUUCAAGAUGAAUUCCAGUUAAAACACUUUGAAAAAUUCUAAUCUCCCAAAAAAAAAUUUUCAAUCGUCUCCUUCCUUAACGAAAAAUUUUAAAUUCCUAAACACCUUUCCUCAAAAACAAAUAAAAUUCA